Cladorrhinum samala is the source of this 88-nucleotide non-coding RNA. Lineage: Eukaryota; Fungi; Ascomycota; Sordariomycetes; Sordariales; Podosporaceae. The record is from the annotation of a GenBank genome assembly.
GCGCCGUUGGUGUAAUGGUUAGCAUCUACGCUUCCCAUUCUUCAAUGGAUUACUGCGUAGGAUUCGAGUUCGAUUCUUGAACGGCGCA